AUUGAACGCUGGCGGCAGGCCUAACACAUGCAAGUCGAGCGGUUGCAGGGCGCUUGCUCCUGGCUUCAGCGGCGGGCGGGUGAGUUAUGCCUAGGAAUCUGCCUGGUAGUGGGGGAUAACGUCCGGAAACGGGCGCUAAUACCGCAUACGUCCUGAGGGAGAAAGUGGGGGAUCUUCGGACCUCACGCUCUCAGAUGAGCCUAGGUCGGAUUAGCUAGUUGGUGGGGUAAAGGCCUACCAAGGCGACGAUCCGUAACUGGUCUGAGAGGAUGAUCAGCCACACUGGAACUGAGACACGGUCCAGACUCCUACGGGAGGCAGCAGUGGGGAAUAUUGGACAAUGGGCGAAAGCCUGAUCCAGCCAUGCCGCGUGUGGGAAGAAGGUCUUCGGAUUGUAAAGCACUUUAAGUUGGGAGGAAGGGCAGUAAGUUAAUACCUUGCUGUUUUGACGUUACCAUCAGAAUAAGCACCGGCUAACUUCGUG
Molecule: ribosomal RNA, 484 nt
Filed under: uncultured bacterium
Lineage: Bacteria
Description: partial 16S ribosomal RNA
Rfam family: Bacterial small subunit ribosomal RNA
Source: RNAcentral